This 492-nucleotide ribosomal RNA is filed under the name uncultured bacterium. Its description in RNAcentral is "partial 16S ribosomal RNA". It matches the Rfam family "Bacterial small subunit ribosomal RNA", at positions 29 to 507 of the family's 1533-position model. The record is from RNAcentral.
AGUGAACGCUGGCGGUAGGCCUAACACAUGCAAGUCGAACGGCAGCACGGUACGUGCUUGCUCUUACGGGUGGCGAGUGGCGGACGGGUGAGGAAUACAUCGGAAUCUACUUUUUCGUGGGGGAUAACGUAGGGAAACUUACGCUAAUACCGCAUACGACCUACCGUUGAAAGCAUUGGAUCUUCUGACCUUGUGCGAUUGAAUGAGCCGAUGUGGGAUUAGCUAGUUGGCGGGGUAAAGGCCCACCCAGGCGCCGAUCCGUAGCUGGUCUGAGAGGAUGAUAGGCCACACUGGAACGGGAACACGGACAAGACGCCUAAGGGAGGCAGCAGUGGGGAAUAGUGGACAAAGGGCGCAAGCAUGAUCCAGCCAUACCGAGUGGGUGAAGAAGGCCUUCGGGUUGGAAAGACCGUUUGUGGGGAAAGAAAAGCAGCAGGUUAAGACCCAGCGGGAGUGACGGUAACCAAAGAAGAAGCACCGGCUAACUUCGUG